CUCAGAGACAGGAGAUGCGCGGCGCCGAGAAUUGGCCAUGUUUUUCUUUCAGCCUUUGAACGAAAACAACGUCGCCCGGUUGGAAUAUUAUCGCUAUUUUACGAGAAAAAUAGCAUAAAAAUUGAUUUUAAACAGCGUUUGACAUGCUUCUAAGUACGGUAACGGAAUAUUUUGAAUUUUUUUGUCACGACAUGCGUCCGCGCGUCACCCUUCGGAUAUGGACCUGAACGCACGAACAAAACGGAGGAUAUUUGAACAUAACUAUGGAUUAUUUUGAACCAAAACAACAUUUGUGGUAGAAGUAGAAGUCCUGGGAGUGCAUUCUGACGAAGAACAGCAAAGGUAGAUGUUUAUUCCUGUCGGCGCGACGCCCUGAGAAGCCAGGUGGCUGUACCGACUCCGACAGCAUAUCCCGAGAGAGCCACGUUUCCGUGAAACAGAGUCACUCCCCUCUCAGUGAGCUUGUCCAGGAGUGGGAACAAGAGGUGUUUUACCGAGGAUGGGCCACUAUGAGAUAGCACUGACGAAGGAGAUUUAUGGUGUAUUUUGAUAAGAACGCCUAAAAAGCAUUCCAGAGGACAUGAGCUAAUGGUUUUGUUCUAUACCGUACCAGGGAGGGACGGUUCUAGGGAGACCAGACACCGGUCAAUAUAAUGAACACUGUUGACAUAGCAGUUACUGCCUGCUGUGUUUUAUGGAUAUCUGUCAUACAAAACUUAACCUUUGUGACCCAUUCUAUGUAUCUGUGGUUUGUCAAUGUACGUUGAAGGGGGUGUAUCUUUGCUAUAAAAUAUCUCUGCAGCCAUUGUGUAAUCACCUUAUUCAAUGGUUAAUUCGAGAGAGUGCAUUAUUGAAGGUCAAAGAGGCUUUUGCAAAAGUAUCUUAAGUAUUAAAGAUGUAGUUAACUUGGA
Molecule: long non-coding RNA, 911 nt
Filed under: Salmo salar (Atlantic salmon)
Lineage: Eukaryota; Metazoa; Chordata; Actinopteri; Salmoniformes; Salmonidae
Description: lncRNA (ENSSSAG00000087111.1, ENSSSAG00020048363.1)
Source: RNAcentral